This 492-nucleotide ribosomal RNA is filed under the name uncultured bacterium. RNAcentral describes it as "bacterial SSU rRNA". It matches the Rfam family "Bacterial small subunit ribosomal RNA", at positions 29 to 521 of the family's 1533-position model. The record is from RNAcentral.
AAUAAACGUUGGCGGCGUGCUUAACACAUGCAAGUCGAGCGAGAAAAGUUUUCGGACUUAGUACAGCGGCAAACGGGUGAGUAACACGUGGGAAUCUACCUUUUAGUGAAGAAUACCCUCGAGAAAUCGAGGUUAAUGCUGCAUACGUCUCGCAAAGAGAGAAAGAUGGCCUCUUUGCUGUCGCUGAAGGAUGAGCCUGCGUACUAUUAGCUAGUUGGUGGGUAAAGGCCUACCAAGGCUAUGAUGGUUAGCCGGCCUGAGAGGGUGUACGGCCACACUGGAACUUAGACACGGUCCAGACUCCUACGGGAGCAGCAGUGAGGAAUAUUGCGCAAUGGGCGAAAGCCUGACGCAGCGACGCCGCGUGGAGGAUGAAGGUCUUAGGAUUGUAAACUUCUGUUAAAGCGGGAAGAAAGACAUGGUUUAAUAGAACCGUGGAUGACGGUACCGCUAGAGAAAGCACCGGCUAAACUUCGUGCCAGCAGCCGCGGU